This 202-nucleotide ribosomal RNA is filed under the name uncultured bacterium. Its description in RNAcentral is "partial 16S ribosomal RNA". It matches the Rfam family "Bacterial small subunit ribosomal RNA", at positions 1299 to 1500 of the family's 1533-position model. The record is from RNAcentral.
UGUAGUCUGCAACUCGACUACAUGAAGCUGGAAUCGCUAGUAAUCGCGAAUCAGCAUGUCGCGGUGAAUACGUUCCCGGGUCUUGUACACACCGCCCGUCACACCAUGGGAGUCGGUAACGCCCGAAGUCAGUGACCCAACCGGAAGGAGGGAGCUGCCGAAGGCGGGACUGGUAACUGGGGUGAAGUCGUAACAAGGUAGC